CUGUGGUGGGAGCCGUGAGGGGCUAUGGUAGGAGCCGUGAGGGGCUGCCCGCCUUGGGGUGCUCCUCGCCCGCACAGUUCCCGCAGAGUGCCCUGGCGCUGUGAAGGACGAGCUCCCGAGGGACUGAACCCUGCCUAGGGCAGCUCCCACCGUCAGCAGCCUUGUGCAAGCUCAGCAGGCCUGAGGGCUCUCUGGAAGGAGAGCGAGCUGACCAGCGCCUGCGCCGCCCUUCCCCUCGGCAGCCUGGCUCACCUGUGAGCAGCGAGCCCUCUGCUCGGCCUGACCCUGGGAAAGCUGUCCUUAGAGCUCAGCCUGUGCCAUUCCCUGACUGCUAAAACAGCCACAUUCAUCUAAGGCGUCCUUGUGAGAUCUUCUCAGUCAAGCUGAGCCUGCUAAGGGGCCCUGUUCUCCUGUGUUUCCAGUGAAGUGGCAAAGCAAUCCCAAAGCCCUUGCAGCAGAGGCUGGAUCCAGAUUCUAUGACCUUCCAAGCAAAAGGCAGUGAAGUGUGAGGAUGUGAAGGAAAAGGCUCUGGGCUGAAGUCUCCUUUCCUGAAGAGCUGAGGUUUUGCUGUGGGUUUCUUUCUGGCUGUGCUAUCACAGAUCCACCUGUGUGUCACUGCUGUGAGCUCUUGGUCUGCAUCUCAGCAGAAGCCAUCUCUGGGGAGAACAGGACCCCAGCAAGGCAGCCGUAAGAACUUCAAAGGAUAAGUCCUGCAGCUGUGAGCUUCACUCAGGCUGAGAGCCCUGGGACACCCCAGCAGAGAGCUUCUUCUCCCUUUUACUCUGCCCUGCUGAGACCACACCUGCAGUACUGUGUCCGGUGCUGGGCUCCCCAGCUCAGGAGGGACAGGGAAUUACUGGAGAGAGUCCAGUGGAGGCCACCAAGAUGCUGAGAGGCCUGGAUCCUCUCUGAGGAGCAAAGGCUGAGAGCCCUGGGGCUGAGAGCCUGCAGAAGAGCUGCUCCAAGGGGAUCUGAUCAGUGCUCAGCAAGAGCUAAAGGGUAGGGGGCAAGAGACUGGGGCUGGGCUCUUGCAGGGACAGGAAAGGGGCAAGGGGCACAAACUGGAACCCAGGAGGCUUCACUUGAACUUAAGGGGAAAGUUGUUUGGUGUGAGGGUGCUGGAGGCCUGGUGCAGGCUGCCCAGGGAGGCUGUGGAGUCUCCUGCUCUGGAGGCUUUCAAAACCCUCUUGGGUGCCCUGCCCUGGAUGUCCCUGCUCUGGCAAGGGGAUUAGACUGGAUGACCUGCAGAGGUCCCUUCCCAACCCCUGCUGUUGGUGAUUCUAUGAUCCAGUGCAGUAGAUGUAAAGGAGACUGCAGGAGGAGCAGUGUUCCAUGCUUUGAUGAUCUGUGGCUUUGGUACAGUGCCAGCCAAAGAGCUCUAAUGGAAGCCCCAAAAGGAGAGCAGCAUCUUCUGUGGCUUGCUGCCCAGUCAGACUUGAAGAUCAUUUCCUGGCAUCAGCCACUGGUAUUUUCCUGGCACCAGAGCUUUUCUCCCACUGCUCCUGACCCAGCUGAGGAUGCUGUUGCCCUUCCUGGCCACAGGCUGGCUGAUCUCCAGCUUGCUGUGAACCGGCACCCUGAGGUGUUUCUCUGCUGGGCAGAGUCUGUCUUGUUUGGCCUUCCAGUACUUAAAGAGGCUCCGGGAGAGCUGGGGAAGGACUUCUGACAAAGGGUGUGCCAGGACGAGGGACAAUGGCUUUGAGCUAGAGAGGGGAGAUUGAGAGUGAAGAGGAGGAAGGAAUUGACAGUGAGGAUGGGGAGACGCUGGCACAGGUUGCCCAGGGGGGCUGUGGAGGUGUUCAGGGCCAGAGUGGAUGAGGCCCUGAGCAACCUGGGCUGAUGGGAGGUGUCCCUGCCCAGCUAAACCUUUCUAUUCAUCUGUGAAUCUGCU
Molecule: long non-coding RNA, 1891 nt
Organism: Pogoniulus pusillus (Red-fronted tinkerbird)
Lineage: Eukaryota; Metazoa; Chordata; Aves; Piciformes; Lybiidae
Exons: 4
Source: RefSeq, a predicted model, not a curated record